ACGGGAGGCAGCAGUGGGGAAUAUUGCGCAAUGGGGGAAACCCUGACGCAGCAACGCCGCGUGAAGGAAGAAGGUUUUCGGAUUGUAAACUUCUGUCGCAAGGGAAGAAGACAGUGACGGUACCUUGUGAGAAAGUCACGGCUAACUACGUGCCAGCAGCCGCGGUAAUACGUAGGUGACGAGCGUUGUCCGGAUUUACUGGGUGUAAAGGGCGCGUAGGCGGGUAAUCAAGUCAGAUGUGAAAUACCGGGGCUUAACUCCGGGGCUGCAUUUGAAACUGAAUAUCUUGAGUGUCGGAGAGGAAAGCGGAAUUCCUAGUGUAGCGGUGAAAUGCGUAGAUAUUAGGAGGAACACCGGUGGCGAAGGCGGCUUUCUGGACGAUAACUGACGCUGAGGCGCGAAAGUGUGGGGAGCAAACAGGAUUAGAUACCCUGGUA
RNAcentral lists this ribosomal RNA (437 nucleotides) under uncultured Clostridium sp. RNAcentral describes it as "partial 16S ribosomal RNA". It matches the Rfam family "Bacterial small subunit ribosomal RNA", at positions 341 to 792 of the family's 1533-position model. The record is from RNAcentral. Lineage: Bacteria; Bacillati; Bacillota; Clostridia; Eubacteriales; Clostridiaceae. RNAcentral also lists the same sequence under 1 other name.